CAAUAAAAAUUACCUUUUACUAGCUAAAAUUUACCAUUUUUACCGUCGUCACAAUUUCUCCUACGAAUAAUUCCUCCGAAAUAAUUGUCCCUCAAAACCCCUCUAGGGACCAAAUAAACUAUAAAUUCAUUGACGGAGACGGUAAAAUUCUUAUUAUAACCCAGCUAGUAAAUAAGGUAAAAAUUUACGGGUUAGGACGUGACAGUGAGAAUCUACAUGUACAUGGUAAUUGCCCUUUGUUUUGGGAUUUCUUUUACUGUGCAUAUUUUUAUGAAAUGUCUUUGUCCUGACAGACUUUACAUUGUCGUUUAAGAAAUGCUAAUUAAACUACUUGUGGAAAGUUGUUUUCAUAAUUUUACCAUGCUCGAGCCUUGAUUGGCUUAAUAGAGGAACAAAUUGGUACUCAAGUUAUGUAGAGUCCAAUGAAUUAAAGUCUAGUUAUGAUAGUUCAACCAUCUGUAAAAUAGAGUAAGAAGAAGAUAUAUUAGUGUCACAGUCUCAAUAGACAUCCAUUAGUACUAUAAUAUUCUAAGAUGUAGAAUCUUCGUUUCGAAUGUGAAAUUUCGUCAUCACAAUCGAAUUUACUGUUUAAUAAUUAUAAUUUUUUAUCGUAUAAGCUCAUGAAAUUUCAUUAUCAUUUCUUUCUACGUAGUCAUAGAGCAUCCACGUUAAGCAAUUUCCAAGAUAUAUGAAUUAGAUUUGAGGACCAAGAUUUAUAGUGAUCACAUUUUUUUUCGAUGCUUUGUGAAAUUGCUUCAUCACAAGUUUGUUAUUUUGAUGCUAUCAAUUUGUUUUAUCAUAGCAGCAGAAUUUAUACGAUAUGCUAAUAAAUAAUCAUUUAAUUAAACUAUAACAUAUAACAUUGUAACAUGUCACAAUGAUCGCAAAAUAAUUUCUUCAAAUAACAUGUUAAAUAUCAUGUAUUAGCAUAAAUUUAACGAAAACGACAAUUUUAACAUAAAUCAUACUUGUGAGUCUGCCAAAUAGACUACAUGUGAAGCGGUUACUCUUGUAAUUAAUGUUUUUGAUCCUUGCGUUAUAAUUGGUUAAUUACAUGCAGAAAACAAUAAUAUAUAUGAUUAGCACGUUAAUUAUUUAUAUUUGAUUCAAAUCAUUAUAAACAAUAAGUAAUAUUGUGUUAUUGCAAAUAGUAUUUAAGUCAUUGAAACAGUAAUUAUAUUUUCAGUUUUACCAUUUCAAUUUCCACAACCGUAAAGAGUAAAUCUGUUGGUAAUAAACAGUAACUCUAAAUUACCGCAUGGUAAAUUUGUAAAAUUACCUUCGUAAAUUCUCUGAUUUACCAGAAAGAGUAAAAAAAAAAAAUUUUUUUCUGGGUCGGGUUGGAUCGGACGCCGGGUGGGGCUCUGUUGCCGGAUUCAGGUCGAGCAAGUCCCGAUCGGACUUGACUGCUGUGUUUGGGUCGCCGGCAAGGGUGUAUCGUCAGGGUAGAUCGACGCUGGGUGUCGCCGGACGUGUGGGGAUUGGCCCGAGUAGUCGCCGGGGGCUGGGCUGCCGGAUUGGAGAGCGUUGGAGUUGAUCGGGGCGGCGCGACAGAUCCGAUCUGGGUCGAGGUCGGUCGGGACUGUGCCGCUAGGCUGCCACCGUUCUGUGUCGCCGUCGUUCGGGGUUGGACUGGGGCGGCAUGAAAGGAGAAGACCGAGCGGUGCUAAACCGUUCAUGCCGGAGUUGUUGCUGUGUCCGUAAGCUGGGCAGGGCGAGUGAUCCGGCAAAGGUCCAAUCUGGGUUGCCGGAUCGGGGGCGCCGUGGAGGGUCGGAGCGGCGCACGGGGCUGGCUCGCCCUCUUCUCUUCCUCUGUGGCCUUCGAUUCUAAAUCAAGCGAAAUAUAUAUGUAGACUAAUGACAGAAUCAAAGCACAAAGAAAAGAACAUAGAAAAAAGGAGGGAGAAGUAGGGCUGCGUCGCUGGUAGGCGUGGGUGCGGUGUUUCUUCGCCGGAGGGAGGGGAAGGCAGGGGCCUGGGGGUUAGCAACGGCGAAUGAAAACGUAGUAUUUUAGGGUUUUUGUUUUCUUUUCUCUCGAGCGUAAAGCAAACGUAGUAUUUUAAGGUUUUUGUUUUCUUUUCUCUCAAGCGUAAAGCAAACGUAGUAUUUUAGGGUUUUUGUUAGCAAACUCUCAAGCGUAUUUGUUUUCUUUUCUCUCAAGCCAAAAUGUUGAUAACGUGUUACAAGAAAUAUGACAAUUAGAAUUAGUCUCCUCAUUUCAUUAACAAUCUUUUUUAUAUAGAGGUCAAUUACAACGAUAAAUACACGUACAUAAUAACGAUAUCUAAUGCUAAUAACAACGUACAUAAUGACUAAUUGAGCUGUUACGUCCUUGGUAAAUAACUUCCUAAUUUACUUUAGUCAGUUAUUUUGACGAAGACACACUUAAGAUAUUUUUCCUUCAACAAUUCCAGAUAUUUUUCUUUCACAUAAAAAGUCCUAACAGCAAUUCCAGAUUCAGCUAUCCAGAUGGCUCAUGCAUAUAUGUUGCUUCACAGAACUAGGGAGUGAUAGAAUUAGGUGUCUUAGUGUUAUUUUGAAAUUAUUUGGUCAAGAUUGCGUACAAGAACGUAUUGUGCUCAAGUGUUUUGUAAUAAAAUAUGAAAGUUGUACGCGCGCGGCAGCUAGUAACACUUUGUAUCUUUGCAUUUCCUAGAAUUCUCAUAACUUUAAUUUUGAGAAGCUAG
RNAcentral lists this long non-coding RNA (2687 nucleotides) under Fragaria vesca (wild strawberry). RNAcentral describes it as "long non-coding RNA (FVES_LNC002282)". Lineage: Eukaryota; Viridiplantae; Streptophyta; Magnoliopsida; Rosales; Rosaceae. The record is from RNAcentral.